RNAcentral lists this small nuclear RNA (178 nucleotides) under Xenopus tropicalis (tropical clawed frog). Its description in RNAcentral is "U2 spliceosomal RNA (ENSXETG00000043124.1)". It matches the Rfam family "U2 spliceosomal RNA". Rfam says of the family: U2 is a small nuclear RNA (snRNA) component of the spliceosome (involved in pre-mRNA splicing). The record is from Rfam by way of RNAcentral. Lineage: Eukaryota; Metazoa; Chordata; Amphibia; Anura; Pipidae.
AUAUUUUUCAAUAAAAAAAAAAAAAUCUGUUCUUAUCAGUUUAAUAUCUGAUACGUCCCCUAUCUGGGGACCAUAUAUUAAAUGGAUUUUUGGAACAGGGAGAUGGAAGAAGAGCUUGCUCUGUCCACUCCACGCAUCGACCUGGUAUUGCAGUACCUCCAGGACCGGUGCACCUCUC